Molecule: microRNA, 21 nt
Filed under: Ornithorhynchus anatinus (platypus)
Lineage: Eukaryota; Metazoa; Chordata; Mammalia; Monotremata; Ornithorhynchidae
Description: oan-miR-155-3p
Gene: oan-miR-155-3p
Source: miRBase by way of RNAcentral
CCCCUGCCCGUUAGCAUUAGC